ACAAGGAAACCAUUUUGAGAGCAGCAAACCGGUGAGCAGGGCUGUGCAGGAGAGGGCAGCACAGGGAAGCAGGGCAGGAGGCUGCUCCUCUUGUACUUUCCCCCUGCCUUGCAGAUGGACAGCCCAACACAAAUGGCUCCAGAUGACACAAAGCCCUGGAGCUCAGACCUCCAAACUGGUGCCCUGCAAUAAAGGUGCUGGCACUGGACCUGCUGAUUGCAGUGGCCUUUUCCACGCUGCUCUGGGGACAGCAACCCGGUGAGCAGGGCUGUGCAUGGGAGAGCAGCACAGGGAAGCAGGGCAGGAGGCUGCUCCUUUCAAUCCUUCCCCCCUGCCUUGCAGAUGGACAGCCCAACACAAAUGGCUCCAGAUGACACAAAGCCCGGGAGCUCAGCCCUGCACACUGGUGCCCUACAUAAAGUGCUGGCACCACACCACCUGACUGCAGUGGCCGUGUCAACGUGGCAUUGCUGACACAGUGAGCCACUAAUGGGCAAGGAAACCAUUUUGGAGCAGCAACCCAGUGAGCAGGGCUGUGCAGGGGAGGGCAGCACAGGGAAGCAGGGCAGGAGGCUGCUCCUUUCAUUCCUUCCCCUCUGCCUUGCAGAUGGACAGCCCAACACAAAUGGCACCAGAUGACCAAAACUGAUGCAGCUCAGCUCACCUCCAAACUGGUGUUCAUGUCCUACAAAGAAGGUAAGUCAGCCACAAACUCCAGGCUCUUGUGCUCCUAAAGGACCAUGGAAGCUGAACAAGGACCCCUUGCCCUACCUCAGUG
This 778-nucleotide long non-coding RNA is filed under the name Phasianus colchicus (ring-necked pheasant). RNAcentral's name for it is "lncRNA (ENSPCLG00000016809.1)". Lineage: Eukaryota; Metazoa; Chordata; Aves; Galliformes; Phasianidae. The record is from RNAcentral.